ACUACCCGCGCGAAACAGAUACAUUUAACUCCAUAUAAUCACAUCCAAACACACAAUCCAACUCUACUAUCUCAAUUUCUACUCAACGUUUCGAAACUUCAAAUUAGUUUAAAAAAUUAAUUUGAAAUUACCUUCAAUUGGUUCAUCCAUGUGCACGCGUUCCUUGGUUGAACUAGUUUGUGGGUCCUACAAAUCGAUUGUGCACAGUUAGGGUCUAAAAGAAUUUUGAGUGUGCGACUCUCUCUGUCGUGAGGGUUUGGGGUUUCAAUUUCGGGGAAUCCCAUUUAACUUGUGGAGAAAAGAAUUGGCUAAAUUGAAAAGGAAAAUCGUGUUUCU
This 336-nucleotide long non-coding RNA is filed under the name Olea europaea subsp. europaea. Lineage: Eukaryota; Viridiplantae; Streptophyta; Magnoliopsida; Lamiales; Oleaceae. The record is from RNAcentral.